CGGCGUCGUACGUCACUGGGCUAUUGUCGCCGUUUCGUUGUUUUUCCCGAGUCGCGCGGCGCGAACGCGAGCUCGUAGCCCACCAGAACGAGUCCAUACGGGCAUGCGAACAGAAGCGGAAGCAGCCCAAGUAUAUUUUUAUAUAGUGCGAUUAGUGGACUGUAAAAGGUAAAAUCGUUUGUGCUCUAUAUAAUAAGUAAAACGAAACUCAAAAUAUUUUCUCGCCCCACCUGGAAAUACGUGGAGACGAGGGCGUCAUUACAGACGCGGCGGAUCGACACGACACAGGGUCGUGGCUCGAUUGCAUCGAAAGGUGCGACACCGCGCACGAGGCACGGAAGCUUCACAAAACAACCCUAAAAUGCAAUGGCUGAUCUGGUACGAGUAAACUAUUGUCAGAUAUAUGAAAAAUCAACGUUGGGCAUUUUAUUUUCAGUAACUCCUGCUUGCACAAGUCACCAUUUUGCUUGUGAUGUACGUAUGAUUUGGCAUCUAAAACAAUCAUCUUGCGGAUGCUCUCCGGAUACAUGGCGGCGAGGAAAAGCGCCGUGACUGCACCAUCGAA
This 565-nucleotide long non-coding RNA is filed under the name Ooceraea biroi (clonal raider ant). RNAcentral's name for it is "uncharacterized LOC105281326, transcript variant X2". Lineage: Eukaryota; Metazoa; Arthropoda; Insecta; Hymenoptera; Formicidae. The record is from RNAcentral.